UAUGAAGCCGGAAUCGCUAGUAAUCGCAAAUCAGAAUGUUGCGGUGAAUACGUUCCCGGGUCUUGUACACACCGCCCGUCACACCAUGGGAGCCAGGAAUGCCCGAAGCCAGUGGCCUAACCGCAAGGGAGGAGCUGUCGAAGGCAGGCCCGGUAACUGGGGUGAAGUCGUAACAAGGUAAC
Molecule: ribosomal RNA, 182 nt
Filed under: uncultured bacterium
Lineage: Bacteria
Description: partial 16S ribosomal RNA
Rfam family: Bacterial small subunit ribosomal RNA
Source: RNAcentral